GUACUCUCACACUCUCAAUCCUUUGGGUUGGGAAUGGUGGACUUGGGCAUUGCUGCUUUACUGCAGCUUGCCUCAAAUGCAUUAGUGCAACUCCAGAUCGGACAUAGUACGGCGUGAUAAGUGUCUUCGCCGGCACCUUGCAAGAGGGUGACUGAUCAGGAGCUCUGUGCUUCAAACUGUCUUUGGACAAUCAUCUGACA
Molecule: unclassified non-coding RNA, 200 nt
Filed under: uncultured Sebacina
Lineage: Eukaryota; Fungi; Basidiomycota; Agaricomycetes; Sebacinales; Sebacinaceae
Description: sequence contains ITS2
Source: RNAcentral